This 462-nucleotide ribosomal RNA is filed under the name uncultured bacterium. RNAcentral's name for it is "partial 16S ribosomal RNA". It matches the Rfam family "Bacterial small subunit ribosomal RNA", at positions 28 to 507 of the family's 1533-position model. The record is from RNAcentral.
GAUGAACGCUGACAGAAUGCUUAACACAUGCAAGUCUUUGGCGAAGCUGUGCUUGCACAGCCUAGCCAAGGCGGACGGGUGAGUAACGCGUAAGGAACUUGCCCUGCAGUCAGGGAUAACAGACGGAAACGACUGAUAAGACCUGGUAAAGUCAGGCGGACUCAUGUCCAGCCUGAUGAAAAGAGAUGCUGCAGGAGAGCCUUGCGUCCUAUUAGCUUGUUGGUGGGGUAACGGCCCACCAAGGCGAUGAUAGGUAGCCGGCCUGAGAGGGUGGACGGCCACAAGGGGACUGAGAUACGGCCCUUACUCCUACGGGAGGCAGCAGUGGGGAAUAUCGGACAAUGGGGGCAACCCUGAUCCAGCAAUUCUGUGUGCACGAUGAAGGUUUUCGGAUUGUAAAGUGCUUGCAGCAGGGAAGAAAAAAUGACGGUACCUGCAGAAGAAGCGACGGCUAAAUACGUG